This 433-nucleotide ribosomal RNA is filed under the name uncultured bacterium. Its description in RNAcentral is "partial 16S ribosomal RNA". It matches the Rfam family "Bacterial small subunit ribosomal RNA", at positions 29 to 507 of the family's 1533-position model. The record is from RNAcentral.
AACGAACGCUGGCGGCAUGCCUAACACAUGCAAGUCGAACGAGACCUUCGGGUCUAGUGGCUUACGGGUGCGUAACGCGUGGGAACCUGCCCUUAGGUUCGGAAUAACUCCCCGAAAGGGGUGCUAAUACCGGAUAAUGUCUUCGGACCAAAGAUUUAUCGCCUUUGGAUGGGCCCGCGUUGGAUUAGCUAGUUGGUAGGGUAAAAGCCUACCAAGGCGACGAUCCAUAGCUGGUCUGAGAGGAUGAUCAGCCACACUGGGACUGAGACACGGCCCAGACUCCUACGGGAGGCAGCAGUGGGGAAUAUUGGACAAUGGGCGAAAGCCUGAUCCAGCAAUGCCGCGUGAGUGAUGAAGGCCUUAGGGUUGUAAAGCUCUUUUACCCGGGAUGAUAAUGACAGUACCGGGAGAAUAAGCGCCGGCUAACUCCGUG